UCGACACACCAACCACAAUACAAAAAGAAUUUUGCAAAAUCACCUAUUCUAAAGCCAAAAUAACAGCCAAUACAAUAAAGUGGUACCAGACCAAUUAAAAUUAUUCGAAGCAUAUAUAUAACAAUAUAAGAUGAGAUACUGCUAAGAGCUACUCACAAGAAACAGAGGAACAAACAUGACUCCAAUAACAAAAAAUAUUUUUGAUAUGAUCAUCUUUAUUUCUCCACUUAUUGUUACAAUGAGCAUGAGAGUUCUAUGCGGUAGGGAUGGUCGUUGUCCAAAGUUCAUGUGUAGGACGUUUUUGUGAGUGUUAGAAUGAUUUCAUAUAUGACAGAGUACAAGACCCAAGAGAGACGCAAAUUCUCUCGGAUUAUUCAAUGAGCUUUCAUUUAUUUAUUGUGUUGUCAUGCAAUAAUUUGAAUUUUUUUUUUUAUUAUAGUUUUUCUUAUAGUUUUGUACUCUAAAAUUAUGCUAAUGAAAUGAAAUAAGACGUCAAAAAAUAUUAUUUAGGA
Medicago truncatula (barrel medic) is the source of this 512-nucleotide long non-coding RNA. RefSeq lists it as uncharacterized. The transcript has 2 exons. Lineage: Eukaryota; Viridiplantae; Streptophyta; Magnoliopsida; Fabales; Fabaceae. The record is from RefSeq and is a predicted model, not a curated record.